CGCGCAGGCGGAUUAGCAAGUCAGAGGUGAAAUCCUACAGCUUAACUGUAGAACUGCCUUUGAAACUGUUAGUCUUGAGUACGGAAGAGAGAAGCGGAAUUCCAGGUGUAGUGGUGAAAUACGUAGAUAUCUGGAAGAACACCAGUUGCGAAGGCGGCUUCUUGGUCCGUUACUAACGCUGAGGCGCGAAAGCGUGGGGAGCAAACA
Molecule: ribosomal RNA, 207 nt
Filed under: uncultured bacterium
Lineage: Bacteria
Description: partial 16S ribosomal RNA
Rfam family: Bacterial small subunit ribosomal RNA
Source: RNAcentral